RNAcentral lists this ribosomal RNA (518 nucleotides) under uncultured microorganism. RNAcentral's name for it is "bacterial SSU rRNA". It matches the Rfam family "Bacterial small subunit ribosomal RNA", at positions 9 to 509 of the family's 1533-position model. The record is from RNAcentral.
GAGUUUGAUCGUGGCUCAGGAUGAACGCUGGCGGCGUGCCUAAUACAUGCAAGUCGAGCGAACGGACGAGAAGCUUGCUUCUCUGAUGUUAGCGGCGGACGGGUGAGUAACACGUGGAUAACCUACCUAUAAGACUGGGAUAACUUCGGGAAACCGGAGCUAAUACCGGAUAAUAUUUUGAACCGCAUGGUUCAAAAGUGAAAGACGGUCUUGCUGUUACUUAUAGAUGGAUCCGCGCUGCAUUAGCUAGUUGGUAAGGUAACGGCUUACCAAGGCAACGAUGCAUAGCCGACCUGAGAGGGUGAUCGGCCACACUGGAACUGAGACACGGUCCAGACUCCUACGGGAGGCAGCAGUAGGGAAUCUUCCGCAAUGGGCGAAAGCCUGACGGAGCAACGCCGCGUGAGUGAUGAAGGUCUUCGGAUCGUAAAACUCUGUUAUUAGGGAAGAACAUAUGUGUAAGUAACUGUGCACAUCUUGACGGUACCUAAUCAGAAGGCCACGGCUAACUACGUGGA